CUCUGGGUUAUCCUUUCCCACUAGCUCCAAGGCAGGACAGAUUCGAUUGGUUGUAGAAAUUUCAGCCACGCCUCCUUGGUGCUAGGAGGAUAACCCCUCCCAGUUCUUGCUGUCCGAGAGAAAUACUGGUACACACCAAAGACGGACUGGACAAUAAAUAAACAUGUGAAAAACAACCAGACUGGAGCAGCACACAGGGUUCUUGGGCUAGAGGCAAAGAGCGGAUCGGUAUACCCUGCGAACCCCGGAGGGAGGCCUGAGAAGGGACUCUCCACGGGAGGAGGCCAGGAGCGCCAAACUGGGUGGGUCGAGGUGUCCCUGGCAACAUCAACCAGAAGGAGCCUUCACGGUAAGUGAACACCAAUGCUCCGUUCUCGGUUGAACUGUUGCCAGGGACACCUCUGGGACAUACCACAGCUUGUCCAACGCAGAGGGCGGGUGCGCUCCGGCCUACUCCCGAGGGAGAACCUGCUGAAGCACCCUUCUUCCAAAGGACGCCUGAAUAUCGGCGUAGGAUUCGAUCUUGUAGUGCUUAGUAAACGUAGAGGGAUUGGCCCAAGUGGCGGCUCUGCAAAUGUCCUGGAUUGGGGCAUUAGUUGAAAAGGCGGCUGAGGUGGCGGCCGCCCUGGUAGAGUGCGCCGAGAUGCCUGAAGGCUGGGGUAAGCGAAGUGUCUCAUACGCCAGCGAGAUACACGCCCUUAUCCAUCGUGCGAUAGUAGGUGCUGAUACGGGCGAGCCCAUUGAUCUCGGGUGGAAGGAGACGAACAUUUGGUCCGUAUUUCUGAAUGAGGCGGUGCGGGCGAUAUAUUUCUUGAGGCAGCGCCGGACAUCCAGGUUAUGCCAGAGUUUUUCCUUCUCGUGGACCGGGCGCGGGCAAAAAGAAGGGAGGAAAACAUCUUGAGACUGAUGGAAAAUUGGGGCAAAAUGAAGACAGCACCUGCAGCACCGAGAAGAGCCUUGCUGAAGUGAUGGCCACCAAAAAGGCCAAUUUAAACUGUAAGAUCCUGAUCAGAAUAGCUGCCAAAGGCUCCAAGGAGUGAGCUUGCAAUGCCUUGAGGACAGUAUGUAGUUCCCAAGAGGGUAACGUAUGCACUGUUGGAGGUGACAUCAGCGAGGCACCUCAAAGAAACUACGCUGGUGAGGAUGUGACUGAGACAUUUUGUCUUUUCUACUGAGAGCAACUCCAUCAACGGCAAUGCCUGCCGUUGCAGGGUAUUCGGACAUAGUCCCUUCUUGAACCCUUCUUGUAAGAAGAGCAGGAGAUGAUAUAACUUAGCCGUGCCCUUCGGAACGGAGUUGCGAGACAUCCAGCGAAGGAGUGCUCCCAAUGUAUAUUGAUAAAUUCUCUCUGUCGAUGGACUUUACGACGCCAGCAUAGUGCUGAGAACUCCCUCCGAGUAGCCAUGUUGGCUCAGGACUCGGCACUCAGUUUCCAAACGAUGAGCCGAAACCAACAUGGAUCCGGGUGUAAAACUGGACCCUGAUGGAGCAGGUCCGGGGUCUGAGGCAACUCCCAAGGUGGCUCCACCGCCAGAUGGAGGAGCUCUGGAAACCAGGGUCUCCUGGGCCAGAAUGGUGCCACUAAGAGUACUCUUGCUCGAAGACACAUCCAUUGCAGGACUCUGGCCAACAGAGGUGUCAGAGGAUACGUAUAAAGGAAAGCGUCUGGCCAUAGACUGGAUAGGGCAUCCACUGCCAUCGCCUCCCUGCAUGGAAAUCUAGGCAUAAACGCUGGGGAUUGUGCAUUCUUCGGAGUCAUGAAGAGGUCUACCUCGGGCAUGCCCAUCUUCCCUGUUAUCUGGGUUAAAACUGAUGGAUUUAGAGCCCAUUCCCCCAGUUGGAUGUCAGCCCAGCUUAACCAGUCUGCAAACAGGUUCAGCUCUCCCUUGAUGUGGUGUGCCAUCAGGGAAGGAAGGUUGCUCUCUGCCCAAGACAGCAGAAGGACAGCCUCCUGGUGAGAUGACCUGGACCCCCAUUGCUUGUUUACAUAUGCCUUUGCCGUCGUAUUGUCGGUCUUUACAAAUACUUCAGUGCCUUGGAUGAUCUCCUGGAAUGCUAGUAGCGCUAGGCAAAUUGCAUGGAGUUCCCUCCAAUUUAUGUUGUGAGAACGCUCCUCCGUGUUCCAUAGCUGCUGCGCCAACUGGUUGAGGCAGUGGGCUCCCCAGCCCCUGUCAACUUGGGUCUGUUGUUCUGAUGAACAUCUGUGGGUCCAAGAAGGUCUUUUCCCAAUUCAGGUUGUUGGAGUUGAUCCACCAGCGGAGAGAGUGACGCAGGUCUGGUGGCAACUUUAUAAGCAGUCUACACUUCCUUACGAUUGCCUUCUGGUGGGGUAGGAGAAACCACUGGAGGUCGUGCAGAUGAAUUCAAGCCCACGGAACUGAGUCUGGUGCGGCCACCAUCAAGCUCAGCAGUCUUGACAAGGAAGCCAGAGGAACUCUUGGAUUCACUAGGACCAGGUGAACCUCUGUCUGGAUAGUCUGUAACCUGUCUGGUGGAAGCAAGAGGCGGUCCACUAAGGUAACUAUGAUUACCCACAAAUGGUGCAGCCUGUGGCAUGGCGUCAAUUGACUCUUUUCUCCAUUUAUGAUGAAACCAUGGUUCGAGUGUUGCGAUAGUUAAGAACCAAGUCCUGUUCUGCCUCUGGGAGAGAUCUCGCCUGCAGCAACAAUUGACUAUCCCUUUCUGACAGAGUUGCGCCACCAGUGGUGCCAACAACUUUGUGGAGACAUGAGGGGCUGCUGUAUUGAAAAUGCCUUCCAGCAUAUCUAAACCGAAGGUACUGCCUGCUUUCCGGGUGUAUAGGAAGAUGCAGGCAGGCCUCCCUUAUAUCUAUGGACGCGAGCACAUCCAGAUGAAAGAGUGCCUCUGAAACUGCUCUUAGAGUUUCCAUCUGGAAAUGAGUUCUGUGGACCCAUCUGUUCAAAAAAAUUUAAGUCUAAAACAGCUCUCCUUGAACCGUCCCUUUUUGGGACGGUAAAUAGGAUAGAGGUGUUUUGUUUUGCUGUUUUGGUUUGUUUGUUUUGUUUUAACUCCCUCUCCCUCCUGUGCCAGAGGCACUGGCUCCACUGCCCUGAUGUCCAGGAGGAGUUGGAUUGCCUAGACUAUCGGCAAAUGCUUUGAGAAUGCUUUUGACCUUAGAGUGGGGAUAAAGCAGCAGGGGGAGAGGAGUGAAACUCUAUCCUGUAGCUGUGAUGGAUCAGCUGCAGAACCCAGUUGUCUGAGGUUAAUCUUCCCAGGCUGGGGCGAGGUGAGACAAAUGCCCUCCAAACCUGAAA
This is a long non-coding RNA of Hemicordylus capensis (graceful crag lizard), 3275 nucleotides long. RefSeq lists it as uncharacterized. The record is from RefSeq and is a predicted model, not a curated record. The transcript is spliced from 2 exons. NCBI's taxonomy places the organism in Eukaryota, Metazoa, Chordata, Lepidosauria, Squamata, Cordylidae.